GCUUACGGCCAUACCAACCUGGCUAUUUCCGAUCUCGUCUGAUCUCGGAAGCUAAGCAGGUUUGGGCCUGGUUAGUACUUGGAUGCGAGACCGCCUGGGAAUACCAGGUGCUGUAAGCU
Carassius auratus (goldfish) is the source of this 119-nucleotide ribosomal RNA. The record is from Ensembl. NCBI's taxonomy places the organism in Eukaryota, Metazoa, Chordata, Actinopteri, Cypriniformes, Cyprinidae.